CUACAUCUCCAUAUUCUCUUCAUUCUCUCCAAAAAUCAAGAUGAGAAAGCUAUUCAUUUUCUCCACCAUCGUCACCUCUCUUCUUCUCCUCCCAAUCCUUUCAAUAUCUCAAUAAGUUGAUGAUGAGAAGGAGUUUAGUUAUGAGAAUGAGAGUGAAAUAGGUCCAAAGCAUUGGGGUGAAAUUCACGAGGAUUGGGCUAUGUGUGGGAAAGGAGAAAUGCAAUCCCCAAUUGAUCUAACUCUUGAAAGAGUUAAGGUUUUUCACCAUCUUCGUCCUCUUCGUCGAUCUCAUAAGCCGGCUAAUGCUUUUAUGAAAAAUAGAGGACAUGAUAUCAUGUUGCAAUGGAAAGAAGAAGCAGGAGGAAUUUGGAUAAAUCAGAAUAAGUAUUUACUCAAGCAAGUCCAUUGGCACUCUCCUUCUGAGCACACCA
This is a long non-coding RNA of Dioscorea cayenensis subsp. rotundata (Guinea yam), 431 nucleotides long. RefSeq lists it as uncharacterized. The record is from RefSeq and is a predicted model, not a curated record. Lineage: Eukaryota; Viridiplantae; Streptophyta; Magnoliopsida; Dioscoreales; Dioscoreaceae. The transcript is spliced from 3 exons.